Molecule: ribosomal RNA, 483 nt
Filed under: uncultured bacterium
Lineage: Bacteria
Description: partial 16S ribosomal RNA
Rfam family: Bacterial small subunit ribosomal RNA
Source: RNAcentral
AUUGAACGCUGGCGGCAUGCUUUACACAUGCAAGUCGAACGGCAGCGCGGGCUUCGGCCUGGCGGCGAGUGGCGAACGGGUGAGUAAUACAUCGGAACGUGCCCAGUAGUGGGGGAUAGCUCGGCGAAAGCCGGAUUAAUACCGCAUACGACCUGAGGGUGAAAGCGGGGGAUCUUCGGACCUCGCGCUAUUGGAGCGGCCGAUGGCAGAUUAGCUAGUUGGUGGGGUAAAGGCCUACCAAGGCGACGAUCUGUAGCUGGUCUGAGAGGACGACCAGCCACACUGGGACUGAGACACGGCCCAGACUCCUACGGGAGGCAGCAGUGGGGAAUUUUGGACAAUGGGCGAAAGCCUGAUCCAGCAAUGCCGCGUGUGUGAUGAAGGCCUUCGGGUUGUAAAGCACUUUUGGCGGGAACGAAAAGGACUGUGCCAAUACCACGGUUCGAUGACGGUACCCGCAGAAUAAACACCGGCUAACUACGU